This 253-nucleotide ribosomal RNA is filed under the name uncultured bacterium. RNAcentral's name for it is "partial 16S ribosomal RNA". It matches the Rfam family "Bacterial small subunit ribosomal RNA", at positions 524 to 776 of the family's 1533-position model. The record is from RNAcentral.
GACGAGGGACCCUAGCGUUGUUCGGAAUCAUUGGGCGUAAAGAGGGCGUAGGUGGCUUUGUAAGUCAGGUGUGAAAUCCCAGGGCUCAACCCUGGACGUGCAUUUGAUACUGCGAAGCUUGAGUGUUGGAGAGGUUACUGGAAUACCUGGUGUAGUGGUGAAAUACGUAGAUAUCAGGUGGAACACCAGAGGCGAAGGCGGGUAACUGGCCAAACACUGACGCUGAGGCCCGAAAGCGUGGGGAUCAAACAGG